CCUACGGGUGGCUGCAGUGAGGAAUAUUGGUCAAUGGGCGGGAGCCUGAACCAGCCAAGUCGCGUGAGGGAAGACGGUCCUAUGGAUUGUAAACCUCUUUAGGCGGGGAGCAAUGCCGGGCACGCGUGCCCGGAGGUAGAGUACCCGCCGAGUAAGCAUCGGCUAACUCCGUGCCAGCAGCCGCGGUAAUACGGAGGAUGCGAGCGUUAUCCGGAUUUAUUGGGGUUAAAGGGUCCGCAGGCGGACUGUUAAGUCAGCGGUAAAAGCCCGGGGCUCAACCCCGGCGAGCCGUGGAAACUGGAGGGCUGGAGUUGGAGAGAAGUACGCGGAAUGCGAGGUGUAGCGGUGAAAUGCGUAGAUAUCGGGCAGAACCCCGAUGGCGAAGGCAGCGUACCGGCUCCACACUGACGCUGAGGCACGAAAGCGUGGGUAGCGAACAGGAUUAGAUACCCGGGUAGUC
Molecule: ribosomal RNA, 460 nt
Filed under: uncultured bacterium
Lineage: Bacteria
Description: partial 16S ribosomal RNA
Rfam family: Bacterial small subunit ribosomal RNA
Source: RNAcentral